GCUGUGGGCCCUGAAAGUUGUCGAGUGCGCCUGUCCCUGUGGUGGGAGCAGUGGCGCCGAGCGUGCCCACGGGCCGCCGCUUGGGUUUCUCUCGUGUUCAGGGUAGUAUGGACGUGGACAAUGGCAGUGGCCCCUGGCUGGCCCAAGAGCCGGGUCCAGAUACGCGCGCCUGAUUCCAGGCGUCAUAACCAACCCGGGGCCGCGAGGCUGGGAUCAGGCACCCCGGAGCCGCUUGCCCGUGGCCGGGCUGCUCUCCCCCUCUAAGCCUAAGCACCGCCAGUCGCGGCGCUGCGCUUUCCGCCGACCUCCCAGAGCGUCCCGCCGUCGCCGGCGGCCAGCCUCGCGCAGGACCAGUGUGGCGCCGCCCUGCUGUUGCUGGGGGGCGCCCGAGGCCUCCAUUCCUUGCCCAGGCUUCCGGCUCUCGGGGCGGCCUCCCUUCCGCCCACGCUCCAGGGCUUCCCCGGCUCCCGAGCUCCGAGCUUCCACCACAUCGGCCGGCUCAGGACAGAACCCAGAGUUGAUCUCUGCAGCAUGCCAUCACUGCUGGGGAUGAGGAAACGGUGAUUUCAGGACUGUUUUUUCUGUCUCUUCAGUGCCUCUUUCAGUGAUCUGAGGUUAAAACCAGACUAUGGAGGAUUCAUCAACAGACCAGGAAGCAACAGCCUGGGCUCCAGAAUUGACCAGUAGUCCGUGCACAGACGAGGAGAGGUCCCAUGAAACUUCGGCGCAGUCUGGGAACCGAGCUCUUUUUGUAACAAGUUGUUUGUCAGGAGGCCCGGUCAUGAAAGCCCUUCCUGACUGGGCUCAAGGAAUACAAAAAGGACAACUUGUUUUUGCCAUUGUCUGUUGUUUUUCAAUAACUAGUUCUCCGAAACAGCACUGGAUGAAUGCCUCAAGGGGCUCACACAACUCGUUCCAGGACUUAGUGACCAUUGUUUCUGUCCCUGUUCAAUAGAGUUCAAAUUUAAUAUUUAAAUUUUGCUCCACAAUGUGCCAUAUUAUCUGUAUCCAACCUGUCAUUGGGCAUUUAGGUUGAUUCCAUGUCUUUACUAUUGUGAAUAAUGCUGCAAUAAACAUUUACGUGCUUGUGUCUUUAUGAUAGAACAAUUUAUAUACCUCUGGGUAUAUACCCAGUAAUGAGAUUGCUGGGUCAAGUGAUAGUUCUGCUUUUAUCUCUUUCGAGGAGAGCACUGUUGUGCUUUCCACAAUGGUGGGACCAAUGUACACUCCCAAGCAUCUGUCAUUUUUUGACUUUUUCAUAAUAGCCAUUCUGACUGGUGUGAGAUGGUGUCUCACUGUGCCUUGGAUUUGCAUUUCUCUAAUGAUCAGUGAUACUGAGCUUUGUAUUCUAUGGUUGUUGGUCACAUGUAUGUAUUCUUUUGAAAAGCAUUCAUGUCCUUUGCCCACUUUUUAAACAUUUUUUUAUUUCCAUAGGUUUUAGGACAACAGGUGGCAUUUGGUUACAUUAGUAAGUUCUUUAUUGAUUUGUAAGAUUUUGGUGCAUCCAUCAACUCAUCUGUAUACACUGAACCCAAUUUGUAGCCUUUUAUCACUCACCCCCUUCUCCCGUUUCUCCCUGAGUCCCCAAAGUCUAUUGUGUCAUUCUUAAGCUUUUGCAUCCUUAUAGCUUAGCUCCCAAUUAUAAGUGAGAAUAUAUGAUGUUUGGUUUUCCAUUCCUGAGUUACUUCACUUAGAAUAAUAGUCUUCAAUCCCAUCCAGGUUGCUGCAACUGCCAUUAAUUCAUUUCCUCUUUAUGGCUGAGUAGUAUUCCAUUGUGCAUAUAUACCACGGUUUCUUCAUCCACUCGUUGAUUGAUGAGCAUUUGGAUUGGUUCAACAUUUUUGCAAUUGCAAAUUGUGCUGCUAUAAAUAUAUGUGUGCAGGUAUCUUUUUUGUAUAAUGACUUUUUUUUCCUCUGGGUACAUAGCCAGUAGUGGGAUUGGUGGGUCAAAUAGUACUUCUACUUUUAGUUCUUUAAGGAAUCUCCACACUGUUGUCCAUAGUGAUUGUACUAGUUUACAUUCCCACCAGCAGUGUAGAAGUGUUCCCUUUUCACUACAUUCACAUCAACAUCUAUUUUUUUUUUAUUAUGACCAUUCUUGAGAGAGUAAGGUGGUAUCACAUUGUGGUUGUAAUUUGCAUUUCCCUGAUCAUUAGUGAUGUUGAGCAUAUUUUCAUAUGUUUGUUGGCCAUUUGUAUAUCUUCUGAGAAUUGUCUAUGACCAUACUGCCAAAAUCAAUCUACAAAUUCAAUGCAAUUGCCAUCAAAAAACCAUCAUCAUUCUUCACAGAACUAAAAAAAAAAAUCCUAAAAUUCAUAUGGAACCAAAAAAGAGCCCACAUAGCCAAAGCAAUACUAAACAAAAAGAACAAAUCAGAAGGCGUCACAUUACCUGAUUUCAAACUAUAUCGUAAGACCAUAGUCACCAAAACAGCAUGGUUCUGGUAUAAAAACAGGCACAUAGACAAAUGGAACAUAAUGGAGAACCCAGAAAUUAACACAAAUAUUUACAAUCAACUGAUCUUUGACAAAGCAAACAAAAACAAAGUGGGGAAAGAACACCCUACCCAACAAAUGGUGCUGGGAUAAUUGGCAAGCCACAAGUAGGAGAAUGAAACUGGAUCUUUAUCUCUCACCUUAUACAAAAAUCAACUCAAGAUGGAUCAAGGACUUAAAUCUAGGACCUGAAAGUAUAAAAAUUCUAGAAGAUGACAUCAAAAACACCCUUCUAGACAUUGGCUUAGCAUGGAUUUCAUGACCAAGAACCCAACAGCAAAUGCAAGAAAAACAAAGAUAAAUAGUUGGGAUUUAAUUAAACUAAAGAGCUUUUUCGCGGCAAAAGGAACAGUCAGCAGAGUUAACAGAAAAUCCACAGAAUGGGAGAAAAUCUUCACAAUCUGUAUAUCUGACAAAGAACUAACAUCCAGAAUCUACAACGAGCUCAAACAAAUUAGCAAGAAAAAAACAAACAAUCCCAUCAAAAAGUAGGCUAAGGACAUGAAUAGACAAUUCUUUGGCCACUUUUUAAUAGGGUUGUUUGUUUUUCUCUUGUAAAUUUAAGUUCCUUAUAUUGAAUAUUAGAUCUUUGUCAGAUACAUAGUUUGUAAAUAUUUUUUCUCAUUCUACAGGUUGUCUGUUCACUCUAUUGAUAAUUUCUUUUGCUGAGCAGAAGAUUUUAAGUUUAAUUAGAUCCCACUUGUCAAUAGUUGCAUUUGUUGUUUUUGGUGUCUUUAUCAUGAAAUCUUUGCCUGUUUCUAUGUCCAGGAUGGUAUUGCCUAUGUUGUCUUCCAGGGCUUUUUAUAGUUUUGGGUUUUACAUUUAAGCAUUUAAUCCAUCUUGAGUUGAUUUUUGUGUAUGGUAUAAGGAAGCAGUCCAACUUCAAUCUUCUGCAUAUGGCUAGCCAGUUAUCACAGCACCAUUUAUUGAAUACGGCAUCUUUUCCCCAUUGCUUGUUUUUGCCAGCUUUGUCAAAGAUUAGAUAGUUGUAGGUAUGUGGUCUUAUUUCUAAGCUCUCUAUUCUGUUCCAUUGGUGUAUGUGUCUGUUUUUGUAUUAGUACCAUGCUGUUUUGGUUACUAUAGUGCUGUAGUACAGUUUGAAGUCAGGUAAUGUGAUGCCUCAAGCUUUGUUCUUUUUGCUUAGGAUUGCCUUGGCUACUUAGGUUCUUUCUUGGUUCUAUAUGAAUUUUUAAAUAGCUUUAUCUACUUCUGUGAAGCAUGUCAUUGGUAGUUUAAUAGGAAUAGCUUUGGGCAGUAUGACCAUUUAAAUGAUAUUACUUCUUUCUCUCCAUUAUCAUGGAAUGAUUUUUCAUUUGUUUGUGGCUUCUCUAACUUCUUUGAUCAGUGUUUUAUAAUUUUCAUUGUAGAGAUUUUUCACCUCCCUGGUUAGCUGUAUUCGUACGUAUUUUAUUCUUUUUGUGGAAAUUGUGAAUAAAAUUGCCUCUCUGAUUUGGCUCUUAGUUUGUCUCUUCUUGGUGCAUAGGAAUGCUAGCAAAUUUUGUAUAUUAAUUUUGUAUCCUGAAACUUUGUGGAAGUUGUUUAUCAGCUUAAGGAGCUUUUGGGUCACAACUAUAGAGUUUAGAUAGAGAAUUAUAUUGUCUGCAAACAGAGGUAGUGGGACUUCUCUUUCUAUUUAAAUACCUUUAUUUCUUUCUCUUGUCUGAUUGCUCCAGAAAGGACUUCUAAUACUAUGUUGAAUAGGAGUGGUGAAAGAGGGCAUCCUUGUCUUGUGCGGGUUUCAAGGAGAAUGCUUCCAGAUUUUGCCCAUUUAGUAUAAUGUUGGCUGUGAAUUUGUCAUAGGUGGCCUUUAUUAUUUUGAGGUAUGUUCCUUCGAUACCUCGUUUAUUGAGAAUUUUUAACAUGAAGCUUUGUUGAAUUUUACUGAAAGCCUUUUCUGCAUCUGUUGAGACAGUCACAUGGUUCUUAUCUUUCGUUUUAUUUAUAUUAUGAAUCACAUUUUAUUGAUUUGCCCAUGAUGGACCAACCUUCCAUUCCAGGGAAGAAGCUUACUUCACUAUGGUGAAUUAGCCUUUUGAUGUGUUGCUAGAUUCAGUUUGCAAGUAUUUUAUUGUGGAUUAUUGAAUGGAUGUUCAUCAAGGAUACUGGCCUGAAGGUUUCUUUCUUUGUUGUGUCACUGCCAGGCUUUGGUAUCAGGAUGAUGCUGGCCUCGUAGAACAAGUUGGGGAAGAGUCCCUCCUCCUCUAUUUCUUGAAAUAGUUUUAGUAGGACUGGUACUGGCUCUUCUUUGUACAUCUGUUAAAAUUUGUUAAUCUAUCAGGUCCUGGGCUUUUAUGGGAGGUUGGUAGGCUAUUUAUUACGGAUUCAAUUUUUGGAGCUCAUAAUUGAUCUGUUCAGAGACUGAAUUUCUUCCUGGUUCAGUCUUGAGAGAGUGUAGGUGUUCAGGAAUUUAUUCAUCUCUUCUAGGGUUUCUAGUUUGUGUGUGCAGAGGUGUUCAUAGUAGUUGCUGGUUGUUAUUUUUAUUUCUGUGAGGUCAGUGGUAACAUUCCCUUCAUCAUUUCUAAUUGUGCUUCUUCGAAUCGUCUCUCUUUUCUUCUUUAUUAGUCUAGCUAGUGCCUAUCUAUCUUACUAAUUUUUUCAAAAAACCUUGAUUAAGUGAUCUUUUGAACAGCUUUUCUUGUCUCAAUUUCUUUCAAUUCAGCUCUGAUUUUAGUUAUUUCUUAUCUUCUAUAAGCUUUGUGUUUGAGUUCUUCUUGCUUCUCUAAUUCUUUCAGUUGUGAUGUUAGGUUGUUAAUUUGAGAUCUUUCUAACUUUUUGAUAUGGGGAUUACUUCUUAUGCCCUACUCUAACUUUUCUCCUUCUCCUAGAAAACUCAGAACUAUGCUUUCUAAACCAAUUCAAACUUUCUCAGUGAAUCAACCUGGUCUCCCUGAGGCAAAGUUAGCAAUUUUCCAUUACACAUGGUUCUCUUUCUCUGUAAGAAUAUCUAAUGCAACGAUGCAAGUGUUUCUUUCCCUCCUGGAUAUGCGGGGAACUACUUUUGGCUGAGACCAAGACUUAAAACCUUGUUCUUUCAACAUUAAUGAAGAUCUAUUUAGAAAGCCUCCAUUUUUACAGAAAAGAUUUAUAAAUACCAAUGAAAAUAAAUAUAAAAUUAUAUGGCAUACAAUUAUAUUGUGGAAAGACUGAACAAAUAAGUGAACUAAGCUCUAAGAAAAAAAGAUGAUGAUAUAAAAUGAUAUAUAAGUAAAGUCCUGGGCUGGUAUAGCAUAAUUAAUGUAUCAGUAAAGUAUGUACACUGUAGAAGUGGCAGGAAGACAGCAUAGAGAGUGAGACCUGACCAAAAGCUUUAAGGAAAGUUCUAUACCCUUAAAAGAGAUUAAAGUGGACUCAGGAAAACAUGGUCCACUUUAGGAGAAGGACACAUGUUCCAGACAGGCCAAAGCUCAGAGCAUCUCUACCUUCUCCAGGAGGAAAGGGGCAGCAAAGCAGCAGGCAGAGGGCAGCAAGGCCAGGUCAGCACAGGGCACCCAGGCCAAACCAGGUGGGCUCCAUCAUACAGGUAGUGAGGAUCCACUGCCAGGUGGGCUUUAUUCAUUAGUUUGUUUUGUUUUCUUCAGUAACUAAGACACGUGAUCAAAGCUGACCUUUCUAAAUAUUGCUGCAGCUGAACAUAAGAUGGAUAAAACUAGUGUUUUAAAAAUUAUGUUGUAUACAGCAUUAGCCCCAGUGAGAUAUUAGUGGAACACACAGGCACACACAUGCACACACACUCACACUGAGCCCAGAUUAUUCUGGCAAAUGCUGGGUUAAGCAAACUAAAAGAAACAUCUUUAGCGCUGGACUUCUCAGAACCUGGAAUGUGGCUCUAUGGCUCAUAAAACAGCAAGGUUAAGACAGAGCAUGUCAUUUUUUUCCCAGAAAUGUUGAAACACUUUCCUUCCCUUGGCUUCAGUGUCACCUUUCUCCUGGUUCUCCAUCAACCUCUUAGGCUGCUCCUUCUUGAUGUCCUUCUUGACAAUCUGCUGCUGCUCAGCCAUUCUCUUUUCAUUCCCCAUGGAUUUCUCAAGUGUGUUUCUAUUCCUGCAUAUUAAACUUUCCUUGUUUUUCCUGACACUUCUCCUUGUCUGACCCUCCCCUGUUCUAAGGCAGGUGUUCCAUCUGUGUGUGCUUUUGUCAUCCUGGGAUGCUCCCAGCAUGUUCCCUACCACACUCCAUCAGGUUUUCUCCCCAGACUCUGCGAGGGCAGCGGCCUUGUCUCCACCAUUCCUUCAAUGCUACGCACAUAACACAGAAGCUGACUCCAUAACAUUUAGUUGGCCAACUGAGACUAAAUGUAUGUUCCUCUAGAUCUUAAAAAGUUACAGAAACAUAGCACAAUAGUCAAAAAUUCUCUUUAGUCAGGAGUUCUCUAUAUAUGUACAACAGUUUGAAGUCAUUAUUAAGCAAAGUGAAACAAAACUGUCACAGAAUUCCCUAAGAUAAAUUAUUUUGCUUUAAUCUUCAAUUCAUCAUGUGAGAUAAUCAAGACCAUGUGUUAUUGUAAAUAUUUCUAUCUCAUAACACAACAACCUGAUUUUUAUUGUUUGAAAUAACCGCAAUAUAAAUCAGUUAAUUUAAAAUUGCAUAAAUAAUCCUUUCAAAUAAAAUUCUGUCUAAAUUUUACAUUACUCAUAUGUUCAAAUGAUAAUGAGCUCAUAGGCUUUUCCAAUACCUCAGUCAAAACAUUGUACUGAUUCCAGCUGUGGGAAUAGUAUCUGAAAGUUAUUUUACAGAUGGGGAAAACGUACUUAUGUGACAUUGGCCUUUGCACUACUGUGCCCUUUUGGGUCAGGAAAAAUCUCUUCCCUUAAAAUCCUAAAAUCUCUUCUGUCAGGUCUGAAGGGUGGGUGGGAAACAGAGUUUUUUAAAUCUAAGCCACAGAUGUUUUAUUCCUUGCUUAAAGCAGUGACUAGAUAAAGGCCACUAGAAGAGCCUCCAAUGCUUCUUCAGAAGCAUGUGCCUGAGAACAUCUUCCUGAAACACUCCCUUGUCUCUGCCCAAAAUCACCUUAGGUAGGAAAGUCAAAACUCAGCAGGCUGAGGAGAUCCAAGGGGAUCACUGAGCUCUGAGGCUUAUAAGAGAAGAGAGAGAGGUCUAAGUUUUUUGUGUAUAAAUUUAUGGGUUACAAGUGCAAUUUUGCUGUAAGCAUGGAUGGCAUAGUGGUGAAGUCAGGGCUUUUAGGGUAUCCAUCACCAGAAUAAUGCACAUUGUACCCAUUAAAUAAUUUCUCACUGUUCACCCCUUCCAUCCCCUCACCCUGCUGUGUCUCCAUUAUUAUUCCACUCUCUACAUCAAUACCUACACAUCUUUUAGCACCCGCUUAUGAGUGAUAAAAUACGAUGUUUACUCUGUGUCUGGCUUGCUUCACUUACAACAAUGGCCUCCAGUUCCAUCCAUGUGUCUGCAAAAGUUAUGAUUCUAUUUUUUGUGCCUGAAUAGUAUUUCAUUUUGUAUAUUUUCUACAUUUUCUUUCUCCAGUCAUUUGUUGAUGGACAUUUAGGUUGAUUUUAUAUCUGUGCUACUGUGAAUAGUGUUGCAACAAAUAUAUAAGUACAGUUAUCUUUCUGAUAUACUGAUUUCUUUUCCUUUGCAUAGAUACCCAGUGGUGGGAUUGCUGAAUCAGACAGAGCCAAUAGACGAUCAGUAAUGGUGGCCAAUCAUCAGCUAGAAACAAAGUAUUUAGCAGUGCUUGAAAACACCAAAACUCUGAGACCACUGACCUUCCAAAACUUCAACAGCCCUGAGUGAAAAGUCCAAACACAUUUAUCCACCAUUCAAAGACCCUUUAUUUUCUGUCCUCUGUGCAUCUCAGUAGUCUCUUUUUACCACACUGUCUAUAUACUGCAUGAGCCAUUUACGUGAAACUAUCUGACACUCCAAGGCAUCUUAUACUAUAUAUUCAACCAUGUAUCCCUAGUACCUAGCACAGUCCUGGCAUAUAGUUUGCUACUAAACAUUUGCAGAAUGAAGGAAUUAUCUUGUAUCCAGGUUCAAGUUUUAAGUUGAUUCUUCACUAAACAAAGUAUUACAGUUCACAAAUAAUCUACUUCCUUUUUUACAAAUGGGAUCGAUCUUAAUCUUAUCCCCUAAUAACAUUACUUUCAUUUACUCCCAUCUAAAUAUACUGUCCUAAGAGAGCAAUAAGAAAGAGAGUUGAAGCUGGAGCUUGAAGAAUUGUACAUGGUCCUGUGAUAACCUACCUUGUUUUAACCUGAGUGACUGUCUCCUAGCAGAGAGCUGGACAGACUCCAUUUUAGUUUCUUCAUGUGCAGCCCCCUUUACCUCCCUCCCUUAAGGACAUAACUAGUGUAAACUGACUCAAAGCAUGUCCAGGAAUCACUUACUGUUAAGAUAUUGAGGCAAGCUGCGCCAGCAGCUCCUGGGGAUGCGCUCGGUGAAUGGCACCCAAAACCCCUGCAUUUCUCUCUUUGUGAUAGUUUAAGCCCCUGCACCUGGAACUGUUUAUUUUUUUGCAACUGCUUUUGUAACCAAUUAAUUUUUUAACUUUUUGCCAGCUCUGCUUCUGUAAAAAUUGCUUCAGCCAAACUCCCCCCUCCCCUAUUUAGACCACGGUAUAAAACCAAAACCAACCCCUUCCUCGGGGCCGAGAGAAUUUUGAGCGUUAGCUGCCUCUCGGUCACCAGCUAAUAGAGGAUUCCUUAAUUUGUCUCAAAGUGUGGCAUUUCUCUAUAACUCGCUGGGUUACAACAGUCCACACUGUGGCCUGAGGCGCAUCGCCCACCUGAGCUUCAUCUGUUAGGUAUGUCAGGGAAGAUAAGCAGGGUAAGGAUGGCCUCAUCAGAGGGCCCCAGAUCUCUAGCUCCCCCAUCUGGCAAGUGCACCUCUGUGAACAAAGUCUUCAGAGCCAGAUGACAAGAACGGCCCAAUCAGUCCACCAGGGAAACCUGGGCCCAGUGUACGUCAAUGCAGAGCAUCAAGCACGGCGUAACAGGUGCACAGUUGCCUAUUCCUGUUCAGAGAUAACUGCAUCCCACACACUGUAAAAUGAGGAAAUGCAGAGAAGCAGAUGUAACUGAAGAAGACAGCAGGAGCAACAAGGAGGGACAACCACGACCUAGGAGGACACCAUGCCAGAGAGGCCUGGACCCCACGCUAGGCUCAGUGCCUGUUAUACUCUUGGGACCCAGCGCUUUCCUUCUCCAUCACGUGGCAUACUUGGCAUUAUUUGUUGUUUAAAAUAUUGUCCUUAGUUUUCACCUUUCCUAGGAGACACAGGCAGACCCUGUGACACUACAGCUGGCACACAGUAGGUGCAUCACAAACAUCUGCUGAGUUCACACACUCUUGCCUUCUCAAACCUUCUUGUCAAGUCUUCAGUGAAAAGGAAUUGCUGAUUGAGCAAGAAUUAAACUUCUAGAGACUCCUGGAUCCACUGAAGUUUGAGACAAGGUGAGAUUUGUUUACUGCCAUAUUCCUAGCUCAUAGCAUACUGUAGUCACUUAAAAAAUGUUUGUUGAAUAAGUGAGUGAAUUGAUUCAAUUGUCAUACUUAGCUAUAUAUUUUCUGAGUAAAACUGAUAAAUUUAAUAGUUUACUUCUAGUAUAAUUUUACUUUACUUAUUCAAUGAACCUGACAAUUCAACUAGGUGCCAGGCACACUGCUGCUGAAGAAAAAGAGGUAUAAGAUACAACUUCUGUCUAUAAGAAAGCCACAGUCUAAAAAGUAGAAACAUAUGAACAAAUUAUAACAAUAAAUAGGCUAAAUUCAAAAUCAGAGGGAUUUGUUUCUAUUUUAAACAGCUCUAGUCAGGAAGUGUUAGAAAGUUCUAAACAGGAAAUGUUCCAACACACCAUCUAAGUAUGAAGCAGAAGUCACCCAUAAUUGAGUUUGCUGCCACCAACCCCAAUAGCAAGAAUUCCAGUCCUGCUGCUGCAAAGUGUCACUCUGAUUUUAUUACUGCUGUGUAACCCAGUUUUAGACACUCUGGUUGUCACUUAAUGUUCUAAAAAAGUAUUAAAGAGAAAAUAUUAUUAUGGUGAUGAGUCCAUCCACUGCAGCCAUCUCAACAUCAUACCAAUUAUAAACCCUAUCAUUUAAAAAGAAAACUGUUAGUUUAACUUAUUUAUCCAAAUAUCAGUAAUACAUAAGCAUAUUUGCCAUCAGACUUUGGAUUUAUGGGUUAAAUAGCAUAUAAAUAUGAUUAGAGCCUUAAAGUUUACACUUUUCUGGUUCGCUCAAAUGUUUUCCAAAAUAGCAUAUGCCUUUCUAAACAAUUGUUAGUAUAUUUUUUAAAAUGAACAUUAAAAUGUAUAUUUUCUGAAAACAAAUACAGCUCCCAUUGGUGAAUGAUGAUAUUGAGAUACGACAGGCAACUUCUCUUGGGAACCAUUUAAUCAGUGCUCACUUUUACACCCUUUUCCGAAAUGUCAAUGGCUUUAAAAUAUAGAAGUAUAUUAUACAACUAAACUUAACACUUAUUCAGUAUUGUGCAAUAUUUAGUACUUGUUCUAGCUAUCUCUUGCUGAAUAGUAAGCCAUUCCAAAACUUAAGGAAUUAUUUAUUGUUUAAUAUUGUUUAUUGUUAUUAUUUGUUUAGUAAUUUUAAAUAACAUUAUUUCUCAUGGUUUUGUGGGUUGAUGGGCACUACAAAAGUUCUCUUUUGGAGUGUUUCUUGCAGUUGUGGUUGGUUGGCUGCUGCUGAAGUCACCUGAAAGCUCAACUAGGCUAAAGAGCCUAGACAGGUCACUCACAUGGCUGGCAGUGCAUAUUGGCUGCUGAGUGUGAUGCCUAUCUGUCCUCUCCAUGUUACCUGGAGUCCUCACAACGUGGUAGUUGGUCCCAAGACACACAGGCAAAUACCACAAAGCUUCUUAUGACCUGGCCUUGGAGGUCCUAGAAUAUGACCUCUGCUGCAUCCUAUUGGUAAAGCAAGUCAUUGUGACCAGCACAGAUUCAAGAAAUGGGACAGUAGACUCUACCUGUCAAGGUAAAGAGCAGCAUGUGCAUGCAGGGAGGAAAGAAAUUGAGGGCAUCAUCUUGAAGACUAUCAUAUCACACUAUUAUUCCAGCUAAUGAACAUUAUGUUUUAGAUGGGUAGUACUAGCUACUCAUGUCUCCCCCAGAAACCCAAGCUAGGCAUGGACAUAUUGAAGACUAUCAUAUCACACCAUUAUUCCAACUAAUGAACAUUAUGGUUUAGAUGGGUAGUACUAGCUAUUCAUCUCUUCCCCAGAAACCCAAGCUAGGCAUUGACAUACUGAAAAGAAUGUCAAUACCAUUAAAAAACUCUAGAAAAAUUAUAUGUGAUGACUGAGGUUAAUUCAGUCUGUCAAUUACAUCAAUAUAAUUCCCUUCUUGUAACACUAAAUAUGGUGAAACAGAAUUGAAUUCUACAAAAGUAUUUC
RNAcentral lists this long non-coding RNA (11859 nucleotides) under Homo sapiens (human). RNAcentral describes it as "non-protein coding LINC00960:7". The record is from RNAcentral. Lineage: Eukaryota; Metazoa; Chordata; Mammalia; Primates; Hominidae.